UGGGGAAUAUUGGACAAUGGGCGCAAGCCUGAUCCAGCCAUGCCGCGUGUGUGAAGAAGGCCUUCGGGUUGUAAAGCACUUUUGUCCGGAAAGAAAAGCUUAGGGUUAAUAACCUUGAGUCAUGACGGUACCGGAAGAAUAAGCACCGGCUAACUUCGUGCCAGCAGCCGCGGUAAUACGAAGGGUGCAAGCGUUACUCGGAAUUACUGGGCGUAAAGCGUGCGUAGGUGGUUUGUUAAGUCUGAUGUGAAAGCCCUGGGCUCGACCUGGGAAUGGCAUUGGAAACUGGCUUACUAGAGUGCGGUAGAGGGUAGCGGAAUUCCCGGUGUAGCAGUGAAAUGCGUAGAUAUCGGGAGGAACAUCUGUGGCGAAGGCGGCUACCUGGACCAGCACUGACACUGAGGCACGAAAGCGUGGGGAGCAAACAGGAUUAGAUACCCUGGUAGUCCACGCCCUAAACGAUGCGAACUGGAUGUUGGGGGCAACUUGGCCCUCAGUAUCGAAGCUAACGCGUUAAGUUCGCCGCCUGGGAAGUACGGUCGCAAGACUGAAACUCAAAUGAAUUGACGG
This 570-nucleotide ribosomal RNA is filed under the name uncultured bacterium. RNAcentral describes it as "bacterial SSU rRNA". It matches the Rfam family "Bacterial small subunit ribosomal RNA", at positions 355 to 916 of the family's 1533-position model. The record is from RNAcentral.